GAAGAAAAUUAAAGGAGGAUUCAUCAGAUGUGAGUAAUUAACAUCCAUCAGGUUAAUCAGUAGUUUAAAGCCUCACUUUAGCCUCUACAAGAUAUUUAUGCAGAAGUUCAACCAAACAGAAGACAUCAGGUCCUGAGGUCACAGACUCAGACUAUCACAUUAUCAGAGAGAAGCUCGAGUGUCUGUGACCUCUGCAGACCUGAACCUAUGAAGAAAGACCUACUCUAAGAAUAUCAAAAGAAACCAGCUUCAAAAUCAACAACCAGCCUCCUCUACAUGGACCACUGACUUCAUGAUAUUUUCUUUAGUUUGUAAUAUUUUGCCCUGUAAAACAAUUAAAGACCACCUUAAAUAACUUUGGUUAUAAAAGAAUCCCAAAGUGUGUUAACCACAGGAGGAGGAGUGACUGAGAGCAGAGAGGAGGAGCAGAGAUUCAGGGAGGAGCUGAGCUGUUACUGAACUAUAGAAGAGAGAAAAACCUCCACAUUCAACAGAGUUCAACACAAAACAAACUUUAUGUUCCUCAACAUGCUGUCAUUACAUCACUGUGUGUUUCCUCUGAUUCUUCUCACUCUCACAGGUGUCACAUGUGAAGACCUCAGUCCAGUCAAAGAUGAAGAGUCCAGUGUAGAGGGCAGCACAGUUACUCUGUCCUACAAAUACACCACAGCUGCUAAUUAUUUCUUCUGGUAUCGACAACAUCCAGGAAAAGCACCAGAGUUCCUGAUCUCACACUCACCUUCAGGAGCAGUAGGAGAAGAAAAAGUUCCUGGACUGAAGAUUCAAGUCAAGGGAACAGAAAUCAAGAUGAACAUCUCCUCUGCUGCAGUGUCUGACUCUGCUGUGUACUACUGUGCUGUGAGGCCCACAGUGACAGGAAACACCAAAACUCUGUACAAAAACCUUUGGAGCAAAGACAACAGAAUACUCCACAACAUCCACUAGAGGGAGCCACACACCUUUGUUAGGAUACAGACUAACACAUAACACACAGCUGUGAUGAAGAGCUUCAGGUGAAGUUAAUGUGAUGUGAGCCUCCUCCUCCUCCUGACUGCAGAAA
This is a non-coding RNA of Oreochromis niloticus (Nile tilapia), 1060 nucleotides long. The record is from the annotation of a RefSeq genome assembly. NCBI's taxonomy places the organism in Eukaryota, Metazoa, Chordata, Actinopteri, Cichliformes, Cichlidae.